RNAcentral lists this ribosomal RNA (345 nucleotides) under Escherichia coli. RNAcentral's name for it is "bacterial SSU rRNA". It matches the Rfam family "Bacterial small subunit ribosomal RNA", at positions 100 to 449 of the family's 1533-position model. Lineage: Bacteria; Pseudomonadati; Pseudomonadota; Gammaproteobacteria; Enterobacterales; Enterobacteriaceae. RNAcentral also lists the same sequence under 1 other name. The record is from RNAcentral.
GACGGGUGAGUAAUGUCUGGGAAACUGCCUGAUGGAGGGGGAUAACUACUGGAAACGGUAGCUAAUACCGCAUAACGUCGCAAGACCAAAGAGGGGGACCUUCGGGCCUCUUGCCAUCGGAUGUGCCCAGAUGGGAUUAGCUAGUAGGUGGGGUAACGGCUCACCUAGGCGACGAUCCCUAGCUGGUCUGAGAGGAUGACCAGCCACACUGGAACUGAGACACGGUCCAGACUCCUACGGGAGGCAGCAGUGGGGAAUAUUGCACAAUGGGCGCAAGCCUGAUGCAGCCAUGCCGCGUGUAUGAAGAAGGCCUUCGGGUUGUAAAGUACUUUCAGCGGGGAGGAA